GGUCCUAUGGCCAAAUGGAUAAGGUGCCUGACUACGAAUCAGGAGAUUCCAGGUUCGAAAAAAUCCUCUUCUCCGAGCA
Molecule: non-coding RNA, 79 nt
Organism: Phlyctochytrium arcticum
Lineage: Eukaryota; Fungi; Chytridiomycota; Chytridiomycetes; Chytridiales; Chytridiaceae
Source: the annotation of a GenBank genome assembly